UACGGAGGAUCCGAGCGUUAUCCGGAUUUAUUGGGUUUAAAGGGAGCGUAGGCGGGUUGUUAAGUCAGUUGUGAAAGUUUGCGGCUCAACCGUAAAAUUGCAGUUGAUACUGGCAUCCUUGAGUACAGUAGAGGUAGGCGGAAUUCGUGGUGUAGCGGUGAAAUGCUUAGAUAUCACGAAGAACUCCGAUUGCGAAGGCAGCCUGCUGGACUGUAACUGACGUUGAGGCUCGAAAGCGUGGGGAGCAAACAGG
Molecule: ribosomal RNA, 253 nt
Filed under: uncultured bacterium
Lineage: Bacteria
Description: partial 16S ribosomal RNA
Rfam family: Bacterial small subunit ribosomal RNA
Source: RNAcentral